CCUACGGGAGGCAGCAGUGAGGAAUAUUGGUCAAUGGACGAGAGUCUGAACCAGCCAAGUAGCGUGAAGGAUGACUGCCCUAUGGGUUGUAAACUUCUUUUAUAUGGGAAUAAAACGUUCCACGUGUGGGAUUUUGUAUGUACCAUAUGAAUAAGGAUCGGCUAACUCCGUGCCAGCAGCCGCGGUAAUACGGAGGAUCCGAGCGUUAUCCGGAUUUAUUGGGUUUAAAGGGAGCGUAGGUGGGUUGUUAAGUCAGUUGUGAAAGUUUGCGGCUCAAACGUCAAAGUGCAGUUGAAACUGGCAGUCUUGAGUACAGUAGAGGUAGGCGGAAUUCGUGGUGUAGCGGUGAAAUGCUUAGAUAUCACGAAGAACUCUGAUUGCGAAGGCAGUUCACUGGACUGCAACUGACACUGAGGCUCGAAAGUGUGGGUAUCAAACAGGAUUAGAUACCCGGGUAGUC
This 460-nucleotide ribosomal RNA is filed under the name uncultured bacterium. RNAcentral describes it as "partial 16S ribosomal RNA". It matches the Rfam family "Bacterial small subunit ribosomal RNA", at positions 338 to 795 of the family's 1533-position model. The record is from RNAcentral.